GUGGGGAAUAUUGGACAAUGGGCGAAAGCCUGAUCCAGCCAUGCCGCGUGUGUGAAGAAGGCCUUUUGGUUGUAAAGCACUUUAAGCGAGGAGGAGGCUACCGAGAUUAAUACUCUUGGACAGUGGACGUUACUCGCAGAAUAAGCACCGGCUAACUCUGUGCCAGCAGCCGCGGUAAUACAGAGGGUGCAAGCGUUAAUCGGAUUUACUGGGCGUAAAGCGCGCGUAGGUGGCCAAUUAAGUCAAAUGUGAAAUCCCCGAGCUUAACUUGGGAAUUGCAUUCGAUACUGGUUGGCUAGAGUAUGGGAGAGGAUGGUAGAAUUCCAGGUGUAGCGGUGAAAUGCGUAGAGAUCUGGAGGAAUACCGAUGGCGAAGGCAGCCAUCUGGCCUAAUACUGACACUGAGGUGCGAAAGCAUGGGGAGCAAACAGGAUUAGAAACCCCGGUAGUCC
RNAcentral lists this ribosomal RNA (451 nucleotides) under uncultured bacterium. RNAcentral describes it as "partial 16S ribosomal RNA". It matches the Rfam family "Bacterial small subunit ribosomal RNA", at positions 354 to 796 of the family's 1533-position model. The record is from RNAcentral.